GAGAAACCUCAUCUGCAGUAAAGUCCACAGAAGCUGUUGGAUCAGAUAAAGUGAUCAGGAUCUCUAAAGGAGGAAAAUACCAAUGCAGAGGGCGGAGAACAGGCACAACUUUACUCAUAGCACAAAGUGAUCCAGUCAUCAUUCAGGAAACUGAUAAACCAAAGGCCAAACUGAGAGCUGAUAACACAGCUGUUCCAGUAGGGGGCAGUGUGACCCUGACCUGCUCUGUGAGCCCAUCAUCAUCAUCUGGAUGGAAAUAUUACUGUUCCAGUACAGGUACAGAGAUGAUACCACAGUGGAUGUUGUCUCCCCAUCAAAUGGACAAAUCAAUGUCUCACCGGAAGGACUCUACAGGUGCAGAGGAGGAAGAGGAAACCCAGUUUACUACACAGAGGACAGCCAAGAAGUUCAGAUUAACACAACUGUUUCAGGUUUUGGAUGUGAAAGAAGUUCAUUUAUCAUUCCGUUCAUCAUCGGACUUGUUAGUGGAAUUAUUGCCGUGCUGAUGCUGAUGUGUUGCUAUAAACAGAUAAAGGAACCCUGUUGUAACAGUCUCACUCAGUCUCAGAGCACCAAUCAAAGCUCUGCUUCACAACAAACAUCCAACCAGAAUGAAGCUCAGGUUUACUCCUCUCUUCUUCAUGGUGAUCUUUCAGUCUAUGAAUCAAUCAGAGGCUCUGGAAACACUGGAAGUGCAGAUGAAUACAACAACGUCACAUCUGGAUUUCAGCUUGAAGGUCUUGAUAAAAGGAGCAGACAUGAUGGCACAGAGGAGAGCUCUGACUACAAUAAUGUGAAUCCUGAAUCAGCCUCAUGUACAAAUGUGAACUCUAC
Long non-coding RNA from Astatotilapia calliptera (eastern happy), 834 nucleotides. NCBI's taxonomy places the organism in Eukaryota, Metazoa, Chordata, Actinopteri, Cichliformes, Cichlidae. The record is from Ensembl.